GCCCAGAUACGCCAACUGGCGAGCGGCCUGACUUAGGAUCAGGUGUUUGCAGGUUCGAAUCCUGCUCUGGGUA
Molecule: transfer RNA, 73 nt
Filed under: Aeoliella straminimaris
Lineage: Bacteria; Pseudomonadati; Planctomycetota; Planctomycetia; Pirellulales; Lacipirellulaceae
Rfam family: tRNA
About the family: Transfer RNA (tRNA) molecules are approximately 80 nucleotides in length.
Source: Rfam by way of RNAcentral